RNAcentral lists this ribosomal RNA (253 nucleotides) under uncultured bacterium. RNAcentral's name for it is "partial 16S ribosomal RNA". It matches the Rfam family "Bacterial small subunit ribosomal RNA", at positions 524 to 776 of the family's 1533-position model. The record is from RNAcentral.
UACGUAGGGGGCAAGCGUUGUCCGGAAUCAUUGGGCGUAAAGCGCGUGUAGGCGGCUCGAUAAGUCUGCUGUGAAAGUCCAGGGCUCAACCCUGGAAUGCCGGUGGAAACUGUCGAGCUAGAGUCCGGAAGAGGCGAGUGGAAUUCCUGGUGUAGCGGUGAAAUGCGCAGAUAUCAGGAGGAACACCAAUGGCGAAGGCAGCUCGCUGGGACUGUACUGACGCUGAGACGCGAAAGCGUGGGGAGCAAACAGG